GCGAGUUGAGAGGGGUAAGCCCUCGGCAUAUUGCUCAGUAACACGCGGAUAACCUGCCCUUGGGUUCGGGAUAACCCCGGGAAACUGGGACUAAUACCGGAUAGAUCAAAGAAACUGGAAUGUUCUCUGGCCAAAAACUCUGGUGCCCAAGGAUGGGUCUGCGGCCUAUCAGGUAGUAGUGGGUGUAACGUACCUACUAGCCUACGACGGGUAAGGGUUGUGAGAGCAAGAGCCCUGAGAUGGAUUCUGAGACAUGAAUCCAGGCCCUACGGGGUGCAGCAGGCGCGAAAACUUUACACUGCGGGAAACCGCGAUAAGGGGACCCCGAGUGCCAGCACCUAGUGCUGGCUGUCCAGCUGCCCAAAUAACAGUUGUUAGCAAGGGCCGGGCAAGACCGGUGCCAGCCGCCGCGGUAACACCGGCGGCCCGAGUGGUAGCCGUUAUUAUUGGGUUUAAAGGGUCCGUAGCCGGCCUAUUAAGUCUCUUGGUAAAUCUGGCGACUCAAUCGUCAGGCGUCCAAGAGAUACUGGUAGGCUUGGGACCGGGAGAGGUGGGAGGUACUCCAGGGGUAGCGGUGAAAUCCUAUAAUCCCGGGAAGACCACCAGUGGCGAAGGCUGUCUGCUAGAACGCGCCCGACGGUGAGGGAUGAAAGCUGGGGGAGCGAACCGGAUUAGAUACCCGGGUAGUCCCAGCUGUAAACGAUGCAGGCUAGGUGUUUGGACGGCCACGU
This 731-nucleotide ribosomal RNA is filed under the name uncultured archaeon. Its description in RNAcentral is "bacterial SSU rRNA". It matches the Rfam family "Archaeal small subunit ribosomal RNA", at positions 53 to 788 of the family's 1478-position model. The record is from RNAcentral.